Molecule: long non-coding RNA, 345 nt
Organism: Sitophilus oryzae (rice weevil)
Lineage: Eukaryota; Metazoa; Arthropoda; Insecta; Coleoptera; Curculionidae
Exons: 2
Source: RefSeq, a predicted model, not a curated record
GUAAACAAGUAUAGCAAUAUAAAUGUUUUGAUUUUUGAUUUUCUCAUGUAUAAAUAGAAAUUAUGGAAAAACAAAGAGUAAAUGAGAAAUGUUUACCUUGUAAAAUAAUUACAGUAUCCUGUCUAACUAGUAUGGGAACUUACCUUAUUUACACCGCUAGAAAAUAUAAACAAAACGCUAAAAUAUUUACUACAAUCUUAGGAAGUGGAAUAGUUUGUUUAGGAAUAGGAGAAAUUUUCGACAAAAGCCCUUUUCGACAACACAGUCAAGACGUAUAAUUUAUUUUGCAUAUUUAGCAAUACAAGUAUCAGUUUAUACUCACAAUUAAUAAAAAAUUAAAUAAGA